Molecule: long non-coding RNA, 453 nt
Organism: Pocillopora damicornis (cauliflower coral)
Lineage: Eukaryota; Metazoa; Cnidaria; Anthozoa; Scleractinia; Pocilloporidae
Source: RefSeq, a predicted model, not a curated record
UAACUGCCCUGUUCGCAACAGGUAAGUCUUAUAAGGAACACAAACGCAGUUUUCAUUCGCUCGCUUACAAAAAGCAACUCUGGUCCAAAGAACUUCUGACAAAUAUUUCCCUCAACAUGAGAACUUUAUUGUUCAUCUGUGGAAUUCUUCUUUUUGCCAGUUUUACGAAAAGCUCAGUUGGAAACCCAGUGCCAAGUGAAGCGGAGGCUGGCGCUUGUAGCGUGGAAAACAAAGAAUGGCAAAUUGGAUGUGACCAUUGUUAUUGCCGAAACCAAUCAGUGUUUUGUGAAACAGACCCAGGCUGCCAGGAAAAAAAAUAAUGAUGAUAAGCAUUUGAAUUUUCGUGGGGGCUUUAUCUUUAAAAGGAGCAAGACAUCAUCCCCACCCUUUGGUUGGAGAUCGAGAGUUCUAUAAGUAUAUGAGAUGGAAAAUAAAGUAGAAACAGAAAAAUGA